GCUCUCAAUCCCCCAAAAUUACAAGCUCAAUGCAUUUUAGUCCUUUUGUCAAGUGAUCACAAUGUAUGAAAGAACUAACUGGUAAUGAAUUUGUUAUUUUCAAAAUUCAACUUUUGCUUUAGCUGAUUUCAUUUUAAUAUAAGAUUUAUAGAAAAAUUGUAUUAUUUAUUAGUCAUGUAUAAUAUGAUUCACUUCAUAUAAGAUCUGAUGGAUUUUUUUUUUUAAAAUACAUUUAAUUCUGAUAGAUCUUGAUAGUGCUUAAAUUUUUAUUUCGCAGGUUCUUACCUUAUGUUGGCUGGGUGACUAUCAUUAUGACUGAAAAGCCUAUCAUCAAGUACAUUCUAAUUGGUGCUUUGGGUUUGCUGGUAAUAACUUCAAAAGAAUAAAAGAUUGUUAUUGUAAGCAGAGCCGGCACCUCCUUUAGGGUGUCAAUGUCAUAUUGGAUUAUCCUUUGUAUCAUUUGACAACUUAAUGUUAUGAAUUAAUCCAAAGUAGUGAAUUUUGACUUUUAUUUU
This is a long non-coding RNA of Neltuma alba, 515 nucleotides long. RefSeq lists it as uncharacterized. Lineage: Eukaryota; Viridiplantae; Streptophyta; Magnoliopsida; Fabales; Fabaceae. The record is from RefSeq and is a predicted model, not a curated record. The transcript is spliced from 2 exons.